AGUUUGAUCCUGGCUCAGGAUGAACGCUAGCUACAGGCUUAACACAUGCAAGUCGAGGGGAAACGAUAUUGGAAGCUUGCUUCCGAUAGGCGUCGACCGGCGCACGGGUGAGUAACGCGUAUCCAACCUGCCCAUCACUUGGGGAUAACCUUGCGAAAGUAAGACUAAUACCCAAUGAUAUCUCUAGAAGACAUCUGAAGGAGAUUAAAGAUUUAUCGGUGAUGGAUGGGGAUGCGUCUGAUUAGCUUGUUGGCGGGGUAACGGCCCACCAAGGCGACGAUCAGUAGGGGUUCUGAGAGGAAGGUCCCCCACAUUGGAACUGAGACACGGUCCAAACUCCUACGGGAGGCAGCAGUGAGGAAUAUUGGUCAAUGGACGAGAGUCUGAACCAGCCAAGUGGGGCAGAUGGCGCCCUUGGGUUUAAAUGUUUUAAAAGGAAUAAAGGAGCUACGGUAGCUUUUGCAAGACCUUAAGAAAAGGCCGGUUAUUCCGUCCAGCAGCCGGGUAAUCGGAAGUCCGGCGUAUCCGGAUUAUGGGUUAAAGGAGGUAGCCGGAGAUAAGCGUGUGUGAAAGUAGAUGCUCACAUCUGCAUUGCAGCGGGACUGGUUCCUUGAGUACGCACAAAGUGGGCGGAAUUCGUGGGGUAGCGGCGAAAUGCUUAGAUAUCACGAAGGACUUCGAUUGCGGAGGCAGCUCAAUGGAGGCGCACUGACGGUGAAGCUUGAAAGUGCGGGUAUUGGACCGGAUUAGGUUCCCUGGUUGUUCGCACGGUUAACGAAGGAAGCCCGGUGGUGGUUUGAAUUGGUUAGCGGCCCAGCGAAAGCCUUAAGCAUUCCAACUGGGGAGUAAGCCGGCAACGGUGAAAAUUAAAGGAAUUGACGGGGGGCCGCACCAGCGGAGGGACCAGGGGUUUAAUUUGGUGAUUCGGGGGGGACCUUACCCGGGCCUGAAUUGCAGGGGAAGGAAUUGGAGGCAAUGGAGGCCUUUGGGGUUUUUGGGAAGGUUGUGCAAGGUUGUUGUCAGGUUGUUCCCUGAGGGGUUGGGUUAAGUGCCAUUACGAGGGCAACCCCUUUCCUUAGUUGCCCUCAGGUCCAGGUGGGCAAUUUGGGGGCCAUGCCCCCGUAAGGGGGGAGGAAGGGGGGGGAGGCGUCAAAUUAGCCCGGGCCUUACGUUCGGGGGUACACAAGUGGUACAAUGGCAAGGAAAGAGAGGAGGUGUUUUGCAAAGGGCAUUUUAUCCUUAAAGCCUGUUUCAGUUUGGGAUGGGGUUUGGAACCCGGCCCCCAGGAGCCGGGUUUGGUUGUAAUUGGGGCUUAGGCAAGGGGCGGGGGAAACGUUUCCGGGCCUUGCACACCACGCCCGUC
This 1363-nucleotide ribosomal RNA is filed under the name uncultured bacterium. RNAcentral's name for it is "bacterial SSU rRNA". It matches the Rfam family "Bacterial small subunit ribosomal RNA". The record is from RNAcentral.